This 509-nucleotide ribosomal RNA is filed under the name uncultured bacterium. RNAcentral's name for it is "bacterial SSU rRNA". It matches the Rfam family "Bacterial small subunit ribosomal RNA", at positions 15 to 518 of the family's 1533-position model. The record is from RNAcentral.
GAUCCUGGCUCAGGAUGAACGCUAGCGACAGGCCUAACACAUGCAAGUCGAGGGCAGCGCGGAAGUAGUUACUAAUUCUGGCGGCGACCGGCGCACGGGUGCGUAACAGGUGUGCAAUCUGUCCAUAGUCGGGGAAUAGCCCACCGAAAGGUGAAUUAAAGCUCCAUGUGUCAUUAAGCCGCAUGACUUGAUGAUGAAACGUAAGGACUAUGGGUGAGCACGCUUCUGAUUAGAUAGUUGGUAGGGUAACGGCCUACCAAGUCGACGAUCAGUAGGGGUUCUGAGAGGAAGGUCCCCCACAUUGGAACUGAGACACGGUCCAAACUCCUACGGGAGGCAGCAGUGAGGAAUAUUGGUCAAUGGGCGAGAGCCUGAACCAGCCAAGUCGCGUGAAGGAUGAAGGUUCUAUGGAUUGUAAACUUCUUUUAUUCGAGGGUAAAGGUCGGUACGUGUACCGAUUUGCAAGUAUCGAAUGAAUAAGCAUCGGCUAACUCCGUGCCAGCCGCGGC